AUUAAACGCUGGCGGCAUGCCUUACACAUGCAAGUCGAACGGUAGCGCGGGGCAACCUGGCGACGAGUGGCGAACGGGUGAGUAAAGCAUCGGAACGUGCCCUGGAAUGGGGGAUAACGUAGCGAAAGUUACGCUAAUACCGCAUAUUCUGUGAGCAGGAAAGCAGGGGAUCGCAAGACCUUGCGUUCUGGGAGCGGCCGAUGUCGGAUUAGCUAGUUGGUGGGGUAAAAGCCUACCAAGGCGACGAUCCGUAGCGGGUCUGAGAGGAUGAUCCGCCACACUGGAACUGAGACACGGCCCAGACUCCUACGGGAGGCAGCAGUGGGGAAUUUUGGACAAUGGGCGGAAGCCUGAUCCAGCCAUGCCGCGUGAGUGAAGAAGGCCU
This 385-nucleotide ribosomal RNA is filed under the name uncultured bacterium. RNAcentral's name for it is "bacterial SSU rRNA". It matches the Rfam family "Bacterial small subunit ribosomal RNA", at positions 29 to 417 of the family's 1533-position model. The record is from RNAcentral.